UGAUGUAGAGUACAGUAUAUACGUAUGCAUAUUAGAUGAAUAAUGUAGGGUAAGUAACAUUAUAUAAGGUAGCAUUGUUUAAAGUGGCUAGUGAUAUAUUUACAUCAUUUCCCAUCAAUUCCCAGGAAUCAGUAAAUUGUCUGGUAUUGAAUUUUCGCGCGGAGAGUGAAUCGAAGAGUACAAGGACAUGAUGACAACAACAAUGAGUAAUUCAGACAUGAACUGUAUAGCGCCAGGCUGUACGAAUUGGCUCCAAUUUAAAAUAAAAUAUCGGGUAGGUACCAUCGGCUGUCCAAGGACCUUUUGAACACGUGGCUCCAUGUCCUAAAGAAAGGAAGGACGUGCCAGCUCGACCUAGCAAGGUCUGCAGGCAGCACUUCGCUGAGAAGGACACGUUCGAUGCGGCAACCGAGAGUUUCAGAAUGUAAAGGAGUCCUAAAUCUACGUUGAAGCCCUCUAUUGGCCCCUCCAGCUUCAAUUUCGAGGGUUAUGGUGUACAGUAGGGGUUACCGACCGACCAUCAUCAACAUCGCUGACUUCGGAGUCAAGCCAAACGUCGGACUGAGGCGACGAUGAUUAUUGUCAUCCAUGAAAAGGUUUUCAACCUGGAGAUUGUGCAAGAGGAGGUACAUGCAAAUCCAUGUUAUUUCUAAGGCUAUUGUUUGUUUAUUUCAAGGCAAAAUCUGUCAUCCCUGAUGCCAUUUUCAGUAUACAAAAUUGACAAUAUACAGUAUAUGCAGUGACUCUUGAAUAUAACUAAAGCUUAAGAUGCCUUAAUAGUUUUACACUAACAGAAAAGAACAGUUAGUACAGCAUGCCAAACAAACCCCUGGUUGCCAGAUUGUUCCUGUGCUGCGGUGGAAAAGAGCUCCACCGGGACCAUAACUAAAGAACUCGAGGCCCAGCUAGAUUGCUCUCACCACCAUCAGUAUACAACCAAGUCCUGCCCCUGUUGGCCACAGAGCUGACAGAGAGUGAGAUGACUGAAGACCAGGAGUCGAUGUAUGAACCUGAGAGCUCAGACACACAAUCAUCACAGUGCGAGCCAAGAGAUGCAAUCGAAGAGUGUGUGCAAGAUCAGAAAUACAUAGUAUUUUGAUAGCAAGCUGAAGGAGUUGUUCAAUGUCUGCCAUGAGCCUGGAUGUCGAGCUGGUGUCAUCAGUUCAUCCCUGAAAAUAAAUGGGUUUUGCCAUCACCAUGGAGACAGUGUCAGUUUGCAAACCAACAGCGCAUCUACAUUGUGCGAGAGGUUAACCACAUGUGGACCCACCCCACGUAGGCCAUUCUGGCUACAAUUGGUGACAGUCCACUGAUCGUAUCUGGAGACGCGUGGUGUGAUUUCUCCAGGCCACUCUGCUUCCCACCUGAUCCUCCCCCAUGAGACUGUGCAUGUUACCAAGGUGAAGAAUAGUUACUGUUUGGAGACGGAAGGAUUAGAGAGAUGCCUGCAACACAUUGAGGCCCAUGGAUGCAGUAUUGAAACCUUGGCCACUGACAGGCAUCCAAGUGUGAGGGUGCACUUGAGGGGCUCAUAUCUGGCAUGAGUAUGACCUGUGGCACAUUGCCAAAGGUAUGAGGAAACAGCUGGUGGCCAUCGGGAAGCCAGAGGUACUGCCAUGGGUGAGGGCAUUAACUCACCACUUGUGGUACUGUGCCACCACUGCUGGUUGAAGUGUCCAGGUGCUAAAAGAAAAGUGGAUCACCACAGGUCACCUCAUCGCCAAUGAACACCAGUGGGUCACUGGGAGGCACACUGAACUGCUGUUAAUUGUCAUUUAGAGCAUUUAUUUGCAGAAAAUUACAACUGGCCAAAAUAACAAAGAAAUAUGCAGUGUUGUCAGACCUCGAAUAAUGCAAAGAAAGUAAGUUCAUAUGCAUUUUUAAACAACCCAAUACUAAUGUUUUAACUUAGGAUGAGAUCAGAAAUCAAUAUUUGGUGGAAUAACCCUGAUUUUUCAAUCACAACUUUCAUGUGCCUUGGCAUGCCCUCCACCAGUCUUUCACAUUGAUGUUGGAUGCUUUAUGCAACUCCUGGCACAAUUUCAAGCAGCUCAGAUUGUUUGAUGGCUUGUGACCAUCCAUCUUCCUCUUGAUCACAUUCCAGAGGUUUUCAAUGGGGUUCAGGUCUGGAGAUUGGGGUGGCCAUGACAGAGUCUUGAUCUGGUGGUCCUCUAUCCACACCUUGAUUGACCUGGCUGUGUGGCAUGGCGCAUUGUCCUGCUGGAAAACCCAAUCCUCAGAGUUGGGGAACAUUGUCAGAGCAGAAGGAAGCACGUUUUCUUCCAGGACAA
Oncorhynchus gorbuscha (pink salmon) is the source of this 2291-nucleotide long non-coding RNA. RefSeq lists it as uncharacterized. The record is from RefSeq and is a predicted model, not a curated record. NCBI's taxonomy places the organism in Eukaryota, Metazoa, Chordata, Actinopteri, Salmoniformes, Salmonidae. The transcript has 4 exons.